RNAcentral lists this long non-coding RNA (467 nucleotides) under Capra hircus (goat). Its description in RNAcentral is "lncRNA (ENSCHIG00000008195.1)". The record is from RNAcentral. Lineage: Eukaryota; Metazoa; Chordata; Mammalia; Artiodactyla; Bovidae.
AUUCUGGGCUGUCAGAGCCUGGAGGGCAGAGGCCCAGAGCCCCGGAAAGGCCGUGGGGUGCCCAGUGUCUGCUCCGGGAAGCCACACUGCCUGCUCUUCGCUCUCGCAGGAAACCUCUGGAUUCUUGACUUUACGAUGCUAACCGGGAGGUAGAACCUAACAAGAGGUCCCAGGCUCCUCCAGCAGAAAUGCGGAUGGGGAAGGACCGGGGGCUCCUGAAGCCUGCAGAUCCAUCUUGACGUCUACACUGCACUUCCACCCUGACCUAGAGACUCUUUCCGGUCACGGAGACAGAGGCGUCCAGGGUAGCCGCAAGUCAGGGAGGGAUGGCACAGGAUGAGGCUACUCGGUCAUGCCCCAGCCUGUACCUGACGUCUGGAGCCAUGAUGCCUCGCAUGUGGGCUGUAGGCGAGGCAGAGGAUGAAAGAGAAAAAAGUAAGUGAAGCCAUGCACAGCUGCUGUGGUCC